This 76-nucleotide transfer RNA is filed under the name Kiritimatiellia bacterium. Its description in RNAcentral is "Kiritimatiellae bacterium (gut metagenome) tRNA-Trp". It matches the Rfam family "tRNA". From Rfam's summary of the family: Transfer RNA (tRNA) molecules are approximately 80 nucleotides in length. Their secondary structure includes four short double-helical elements and three loops (D, anti-codon, and T loops). Lineage: Bacteria; Pseudomonadati; Kiritimatiellota; Kiritimatiellia. The record is from RNAcentral.
ACGUGGGUAGUUCAAUUGGUAGAGCAGCGGUCUCCAAAACCGCCUGUUGCUGGUUCGAGUCCGGCUCCACGUGCCA